ACGCUGGCGGCGUGCCUAAUACAUGCAAGUCGAGCGAACGGACGAGAAGCUUGCUUCUCUGAUGUUAGCGGCGGACGGGUGAGUAACACGUGGAUAACCUACCUAUAAGACUGGGAUAACUUCGGGAAACCGGAGCUAAUACCGGAUAAUAUUUUGAACCGCAUGGUUCAAAAGUGAAAGACGGUCUUGCUGUCACUUAUAGAUGGAUCCGCGCUGCAUUAGCUAGUUGGUAAGGUAACGGCUUACCAAGGCAACGAUGCAUAGCCGACCUGAGAGGGUGAUCGGCCACACUGGAACUGAGACACGGUCCAGACUCCUACGGGAGGCAGCAGUAGGGAAUCUUCCGCAAUGGGCGAAAGCCUGACGGAGCAACGCCGCGUGAGUGAUGAAGGUCUUCGGAUCGUAAAACUCUGUUAUUAGGGAAGAACAUAUGUGUAAGUAACUGUGCACAUCUUGACGGUACCUAAUCAGAAAGCCACGGCUAACUACGUGCCAGCAGCCGCGGUAAUACGUAGGUGGCAAGCGUUAUCCGGAAUUAUUGGGCGUAAAGCGCGCGUAGGCGGUUUUUUAAGUCUGAUGUGAAAGCCCACGGCUCAACCGUGGAGGGUCAUUGGAAACUGGAAAACUUGAGUGCAGAAGAGGAAAGUGGAAUUCCAUGUGUAGCGGUGAAAUGCGCAGAGAUAUGGAGGAACACCAGUGGCGAAGGCGACUUUCUGGUCUGUAACUGACGCUGAUGUGCGAAAGCGUGGGGAUCAAACAGGAUUAGAUACCCUGGUAGUCCACGCCGUAAACGAUGAGUGCUAAGUGUUAGGGGGUUUCCGCCCCUUAGUGCUGCAGCUAACGCAUUAAGCACUCCGCCUGGGGAGUACGACCGCAAGGUUGAAACUCAAAGGAAUUGACGGGGACCCGCACAAGCGGUGGAGCAUAUGGUUUAAUUCGAAGCAACGCGAAGAACCUUACCAAAUCUUGACAUCCUUUGACAACUCUAGAGAUAGAGCUUUCCCCUUCGGGGGACAAAGUGACAGGUGGUGCAUGGUUGUCGUCAGCUCGUGUCGUGAGAUGUUGGGUUAAGUCCCGCAACGAGCGCAACCCUUAAGCUUAGUUGCCAUCAUUAAGUUGGGCACUCUAAGUUGACUGCCGGUGACAAACCGGAGGAAGGUGGGGAUGACGUCAAAUCAUCAUGCCCCUUAUGAUUUGGGCUACACACGUGCUACAAUGGACAAUACAAAGGGCAGCGAAACCGCGAGGUCAAGCAAAUCCCAUAAAGUUGUUCUCAGUUCGGAUUGUAGUCUGCAACUCGACUACAUGAAGCUGGAAUCGCUAGUAAUCGUAGAUCAGCAUGCUACGGUGAAUACGUUCCCGGGUCU
RNAcentral lists this ribosomal RNA (1367 nucleotides) under uncultured bacterium. RNAcentral describes it as "16S ribosomal RNA". It matches the Rfam family "Bacterial small subunit ribosomal RNA", at positions 33 to 1381 of the family's 1533-position model. The record is from RNAcentral.